RNAcentral lists this ribosomal RNA (274 nucleotides) under uncultured bacterium. RNAcentral's name for it is "partial 16S ribosomal RNA". It matches the Rfam family "Bacterial small subunit ribosomal RNA", at positions 523 to 796 of the family's 1533-position model. The record is from RNAcentral.
AUACAGAGAUGGCAACCGUUGUUCGGAAUUACUGGGCUUAAAGCGCACGCAGGCGGAGAAAUAAGUUGGGUGUGAAAUAUCAUGGCUUACCCAUGGUGCUGCAUUCAAAACUGUUUUUCUUGAGUCUGGAAGGGGAGAGUGGAACUCCUAGUGGAGCGGUGAAAUGUGUUGAUAUUAGGAGGAACGCCGGUGGCGAAAGCGACUCUCUGGUCCAGUACUGACGCUGAGGUGCGAAAGCUAGGGGAGCAAACGGGAUUAGAAACCCCAGUAGUCC